GUGGCGAACGGGUGAGUAACACGUAAGAAACCUGCCCCUUAGACGAGGAUAACCAUUGGAAACGAUGGCUAAUACUGGAUAGGAUAUUUAAUCGCAUGAUUUUAUAUUUAAAGGUGCUCUAAAGCACCACUAUGGGAUGGUCUUGCGCUGCAUUAGCUAGUUGGUAGGGUAACGGCCUACCAAGGCGACGAUGCAUAGCUGGUCUGAGAGGAUGAACAGCCACACUGGGACUGAGACACGGCCCAGACUCC
RNAcentral lists this ribosomal RNA (251 nucleotides) under uncultured bacterium. Its description in RNAcentral is "partial 16S ribosomal RNA". It matches the Rfam family "Bacterial small subunit ribosomal RNA", at positions 95 to 339 of the family's 1533-position model. The record is from RNAcentral.